GAUAAGGUGAUUGGAGUUUUGGCUGGAGAAAACAAAAGUGGGGCAGUUAUAUAUAAGACUUUGGCUGGUGUACUAUUAAGGGUUGAUUUCAAAUAAAUGAAAUGCCUUUUGUGUCCAGAAAAUACAUCUACAUGGUGGUAGUUUCUAUCUUACAAAAGUGGCAAGUUAUAAGACGUUGGCUGGCUAGUAUCUUGUUUGGUUUGUUUCUAUAUACUUACUUUCCCUUUGUUAAUUUUGUGAAACGUUGCUUGUUUAUUGAUAAUCUCUAUUUCGCAUGCGUUCAUUUCUGGAUGAUGUUCCCUAUCUUCUGAUUUUGAUUUUUGUAUUGUUAAACCGUACUUCCCAUAUAACACA
Molecule: long non-coding RNA, 354 nt
Organism: Arabidopsis thaliana (thale cress)
Lineage: Eukaryota; Viridiplantae; Streptophyta; Magnoliopsida; Brassicales; Brassicaceae
Product: other RNA
Exons: 1
Source: RefSeq